AAUCCUGAGCUGUUAGUUCAAGAUGGCGGCUGCCGUGGGGCCCUUGGGCGAUGGGGAGCUGUGGCAGAGCUGGCUUCCUAACCACGUCGUGUUCUUGCGGCUCCGCGAGGGCGUAAGAAACCAGAGUCCAGCCGAAGCGGAGAAGCCAGCGGCUUCGACUUCACCCUCGUGCCCGUCUCUGCCGCCGCAUUUGCCGACGAGAAACCUGGUCUUCGGCCUCGGAGGGGAACUGUUUCUGUGGGACGCAGAAGGCAGCGCCUUCUUGGUGGUUCGCCUUCGAGGCCCCAGCGGUGGUGGCGUGGAGCCUCCUCUCUCCCAGUAUCAGGUGCGCCGGUCCAUCGUGAAAGCAAUCAGCCUUUUGGUUCGUUGGCGGACCUGGGCUGGCGUCUUUUGGGAACGCCCCACUUCGAGUGGAAUGACCCCGCUUUGUAGCUCAAUCUGGUCUGGAAUCACUAUGUAGCCCAGGCUAGCCAGGAACUCCUGCCCCAGUCUCUGAGUGUUGAGAUUACGGGUCUAAGUCAUUUAUAAACACCAAAACAGAGGCUAGGCCUGUGUGUGUGUCCAGCACCUGACAUAAACCUAGAGCAUGCACAAGCUCCGUAAUAUCUGUGAUUUGCUUCGGUGGGGGUGGAGGGGUUUGUUGAGACAGGGUUAACAGCCCUGGUUGUUCUGGAACGCACUCUGUAGAGCAGGCUGACCUCAUUAACAGAGAUCUGGAGGAUCCUGAUCAGAGCUAGGAUUAAGCCAUGUGCUGCCACUGCCCAGUUCUACAACAGGCAUUUAAAGACAUGGGCCUACAGAUUUAAAAGCAAUUAGAAAUAUUAUUAUAUUCAAAAGAAAUCCUUAUUUAAAAGGAUUUUUGGCUUAGUAUAAUUCUCCAUACUAAGAGAUUACUCUGCAUUAAUCCACCCUUGUUUGAAAUCCAUCAAGUCUUGUUGAGUCCAACCCAACAUCAUGUAGCACUUAUCGGAAGUAAAGGACUUAUGGCAUUAGAAUUACCUCAGAGGUGGGGGAAGGACUCUGAAUUUGAAGGUGGAAAAGCAACUGUGAAUUGUAGCACCAUCCCGAUUGCUGAGAGAUUUUUCACCAGCUCUACCUCUCUGACUCUGAAGCAUGCUGCAUGGUAUCCAAGUGAGAUGCUGGAUCCCCACAUAGUGCUGUUGACAUCAGACAACGUGAUAAGAAUUUAUUCUCUCCGUGAGCCCCAGACACCCACUAAGGUGAUUGUACUUUCAGAAGCAGAAGAGGAAAGUUUAAUACUCAAUAAAGGAAGAGCAUAUACAGCGUCUCUAGGAGAGACUGCAGUGGCGUUUGACUUCGGGCCCCUGGUAACCGUCUCAAAGAAUAUAUUUGAACAGAAAGACAGAGAUGUGGUGGCGUAUCCACUGUACAUCCUGUAUGAGAAUGGGGAGACCUUCCUUACCUACGUGAGCCUGUUACACAGCCCAGGGAAUAUUGGGAAGCUGUUGGGCCCACUGCCUAUGCAUCCUGCAGCUGAAGAUAACUACGGUUACGAUGCCUGUGCUAUACUCUGUUUGCCCUGUGUUCCAAAUAUCUUAGUAAUUGCGACUGAGUCAGGAAUGCUGUACCACUGUGUUGUACUAGAGGGAGAAGAAGAAGAUGACCAAACGUUAGAAAAGUCCUGGGAUCCCAGGGCUGACUUCAUCCCUUCUCUGUACGUGUUUGAGUGUGUUGAGUUAGAGCUUGCCCUGAAGCUGGCAUCUGGAGAGGACGAUCCCUUUGCCUCUGACUUUUCCUGCCCAAUUAAACUGCACAGAGAUGAAGAAGAUAAGGAUAGUUUACAAGAACUCACUGCUGAGCAGAAAUGCUUUGUGGAGCACAUUCUUUGUACAAAGCCAUUGCCGUGCAGCCAGCUCCAAUUCGAGGAUUCUGGAUCGUCCCAGACAUCCUGGGGCCCACAAUGAUCUGCAUCACCAGUACCUAUGAAUGUCUCAUACGGCCUUUAUUAAGUACAGUCCACCCAGCAUCUCCUCCCCUGCUCUGUACCCAAGAAGAUGCUGAAGUUGCAGAGUCUCCACUGCGCAUUCUGGCUGAAACUCCAGACUCCUUUGAGAAGCAUAUUAAAAGAAUCUUGCAGCGUAGUGCUGCCAACCCAGCAUUUCUCAAAUCAUCUGAAAAGGAUUUGGCUCCCCCUCCCGAGGAGUGUCUUCAGCUUAUCAGCAGAGCCACCCAGGUGUUCCGAGAACAGUACAUUCUCAAGCAGGACCUGGCCAAGGAGGAGAUUCAGCGGAGGGUCAAAUUAUUAUGUGACCAAAAGAGGAAACAACUCGAAGAUCUCAAUUACUGUCGAGAGGAAAGGAAAAGUCUCCGGGAAAUGGCUGAGCGCUUAGCUGACAAAUAUGAGGAAGCCAAAGAAAAACAAGAAGAUAUCAUGAACAGGAUGAAAAAAGUGCUUCACAGUUUUCAUGCUCAGCUCCCAGUUCUCUCUGACAGUGAGAGAGACAUGAAGAAAGAGUUACAGCUGAUACCUGAUCAACUGCGACAUCUAGGCAACGCCAUCAAACAGGGGUGAACACAUAAGGGAAAUGGUGAAGCAAAUCAAUGACAUCCGAAAUCAUGUCACCUUCUGACACCACCUGGAAUGAACAUAACUUGAAGGCUGUAAAACAAACAGGGAGCACUGUUUAAUUUAUAAAGGAGCAUUUUGGAUAAGAUUUGGUGUGGUUAUUCUUUUGUUAUUCCUUUUUGUUAUUAUUUCUGUUAAAUAAAUUUAUUUAUUCAAAUAAAGUUUGAAUAAAUUUUUAUUCAAAAAUUUGACUUUGCUUUACAAU
Molecule: RNA transcript, 2792 nt
Organism: Mus musculus (house mouse)
Lineage: Eukaryota; Metazoa; Chordata; Mammalia; Rodentia; Muridae
Gene: Nup88
Gene name: nucleoporin 88
Exons: 15
Source: RefSeq, marked validated